AAAAAUACAUAGUGUUUCAUGUGAACGAUAAAAAAGAACGACGAAGAAAAAAAUGCGGCAAGUAUGAUAAUAUUACUUCGCUCUUCUUUAUCCUCCUCUUUCUUAUAUCCUCUUCUUUAUCAUUACUAUCUUUGGGAAAUUAUGUGUGCUUCUAAUACUAAGAGAGCUACAUAUAAUGGUAACAAAUUUUAACUAUAAUAAGCUAUAUUUUGUUUCUUAUUACUCAUUUCAACAUAAUUAUUAUAAGCAGAUUAUAAAA
This 259-nucleotide non-coding RNA is filed under the name Aureoumbra lagunensis. Lineage: Eukaryota; Pelagophyceae; Sarcinochrysidales; Sarcinochrysidaceae. The record is from RNAcentral.